RNAcentral lists this ribosomal RNA (497 nucleotides) under uncultured bacterium. RNAcentral's name for it is "partial 16S ribosomal RNA". It matches the Rfam family "Bacterial small subunit ribosomal RNA", at positions 28 to 507 of the family's 1533-position model. The record is from RNAcentral.
GAUGAACGCUGGCGGCGUGCCUAAUACAUGCAAGUCGAGCGAACAGACGAGGAGCUUGCUCCUCUGACGUUAGCGACGGACGGGUGAGUAACACGUGGAUAACCUACUUCUUAUACUGGGGUAACUUCGGGAAACCGGAGAUAAUACCGGAUAAUAUAUUGAACCGCAUGGUUCAAUAGUGCAAGACGCUUUUGCUGUCACUUAUAGAUGGAUUCGCGUCGCAUUAGAUAGUUGGUAAGGUAACGGCUUACCAAGGCAACGAUGCGUAGCCGACCUGAGAGGGUGAUCGGCCACACUGGGACUGAGACACGGUCCAGACUCCUACGGGAGGCAGCAGUAGGGAAUCUUCCGCAAUGGGCGAAAGCCUGACGGAGCAACGCCGCGUGAGUGAUGAAGGUCUUCGGAUCGUAAAACUCUGUUAUUAGGGAAGAACAAAUGUGUAAGUAACUAUGCACGUCUUGACGGUACCUAAUCAGAAAGCCACGGCUAACUACGUG